CGCGUAGGCGGCUCCGAAAGUGGCGUGUGAAAGCCCCCGGCUCAACCGGGGAAGUGCACGCCAGACUUCGGUUCUUGAGGGCGGUAGGGGGGACUGGAACUCUCGGUGGAGCGGUGAAAUGCGUAGAUAUCGAGAGGAACACCGGUGGCGAAGGCGAGUCCCUGGUCCGCAUCUGACGCUGAGGCGCGAAAGCGUGGGUAGCAAACAG
RNAcentral lists this ribosomal RNA (208 nucleotides) under uncultured bacterium. RNAcentral's name for it is "partial 16S ribosomal RNA". It matches the Rfam family "Bacterial small subunit ribosomal RNA", at positions 568 to 775 of the family's 1533-position model. The record is from RNAcentral.